GACGAACGCUGGCGGCGUGCUUAACACAUGCAAGCCGUACGGUAAGGCCCUUUCGGGGGUACACGAGUGGCGAACGGGUGAGUAACACGUGAGUAACCUGCCCACAACUUUGGGAUAACGCUAGGAAACUGGUGCUAAUACUGGAUAUGUGCUCCUGCUGCAUGGUGGGGGUUGGAAAGCUCCGGCGGUUGUGGAUGGACUCGCGGCCUAUCAGCUUGUUGGUGGGGUAGUGGCCUACCAAGGCGGCGACGGGUAGCCGGCCUGAGAGGGUGACCGGCCACAUUGGGACUGAGAUACGGCCCAGACUCCUACGGGAGGCAGCAGUGGGGAAUAUUGCACAAUGGGCGCAAGCCUGAUGCAGCAACGCCGCGUGCGGGAUGACGGCCUUCGGGUUGUAAACCGCUUUCAGCAGGGACGAAGCUUUUUGUGACGGUACCUGCAGAAGAAGCACCGGCUAACUACGUG
RNAcentral lists this ribosomal RNA (465 nucleotides) under uncultured bacterium. RNAcentral describes it as "partial 16S ribosomal RNA". It matches the Rfam family "Bacterial small subunit ribosomal RNA", at positions 28 to 507 of the family's 1533-position model. The record is from RNAcentral.